GCCAGGUGUGGUGGUGCAUGCCUGUAAUCCCAGCUACUAGGGAGGCUGAGACAUGAGAAUCACUCUAACCUGGGAGGCAGAGGUUUCAGUGAGUGGAAAUUGAACCACUGCACUCCAGCCUAGGUAAUAGAGUGAGACUCUGUCUCAU
This 148-nucleotide non-coding RNA is filed under the name Chlorocebus sabaeus (green monkey). Lineage: Eukaryota; Metazoa; Chordata; Mammalia; Primates; Cercopithecidae. The record is from Rfam by way of RNAcentral.